UCAAAAGGUUAUCUCAGUUCCAAGUGAAUAUUUUUGUGACACGAUAUACUAAUAAUGCUUGCAAGCGGAUUAUAUUUUUAAGUAUUAAUGGUAAUGUUGUUGAAAAAUACAUUUAAUGCCAGACCGAAUACAUAAAAAUUCAAUAAUGAAUUCACUCAAGUUAGUUAAAGAGAGUGGCUAGGACCUCUUGAUUAGCGACAAAAGAGCGAAAAUUUCAAUUAUUUGGACUACUUACCUACUACAACUGAUACAGGAACCCCAUGGCGCUCUAGUUGUCCCUCUAGGA
Molecule: long non-coding RNA, 286 nt
Organism: Pieris brassicae (large cabbage white)
Lineage: Eukaryota; Metazoa; Arthropoda; Insecta; Lepidoptera; Pieridae
Exons: 3
Source: RefSeq, a predicted model, not a curated record